Molecule: transfer RNA, 72 nt
Filed under: Amphisbaena schmidti
Lineage: Eukaryota; Metazoa; Chordata; Lepidosauria; Squamata; Amphisbaenidae
Description: tRNA-Glu
Source: RNAcentral
AUUUUCAUAGUUGAGGAACAACGGCGGUUUUUCGGACCGCAGGCCCGAUAUAGCAAGUAGUCGGUGGGAAUA